This 61-nucleotide transfer RNA is filed under the name Oliarus cf. filicicola HI01081. Its description in RNAcentral is "tRNA-Cys". Lineage: Eukaryota; Metazoa; Arthropoda; Insecta; Hemiptera; Cixiidae. The record is from RNAcentral.
UGUCUUAUAUUCAAAAAUGAUUUUAAAUUGCAAAUUUGAAGGUGCUUAAUAGCUAAGGCUU